RNAcentral lists this ribosomal RNA (202 nucleotides) under Paraphysomonas bandaiensis. RNAcentral describes it as "partial Bacterial large subunit ribosomal RNA". It matches the Rfam family "Bacterial large subunit ribosomal RNA", at positions 2082 to 2284 of the family's 2925-position model. Lineage: Eukaryota; Chrysophyceae; Chromulinales; Paraphysomonadaceae. The record is from RNAcentral.
GGAAAGACCCCGGGACCUUUACUACAGCUUGGUAUUGGUGUUCGGUGUGGCUUGUGUAGGAUAGGUGGGAGACUGUGAAGCAUGCACGCUAGUGUGUGUGGAGUCAUCGUUGAAAUACCACUCUGGUCGUUCUGGUUAUCUAACCUCGGUCCGUGAUCCGGAUCAGGGACAUUGCCUGGUGGGUAGUUUAACUGGGGCGGUU